CAUAUCUAAGAUUUUUCUUCCUUUUAUGAGACAGGGUCUUGCUACAUCGCCCAGGCUGACCUAAAACUUGCCAUUUUUCUGCCUCAGCUUCCUGAAUAUCUGGAAAAUAUGUGCUAUUUUACAUGAAAAAAAUUCCAGCCUUUGCUGUUGCUUUUGGACUUCUGUUUCCAGGUUUCCAACUCAGCCCCAUCAACUUCCCCAAAUGGAUUCACAGAGGAUUCUGCCUUGAGCUCCAUGCCUUUAAUUUUUUAUUGAACCCUCCACUUUCCAGUGCACAGACAGCCCUUU
Molecule: long non-coding RNA, 288 nt
Filed under: Fukomys damarensis (Damara mole-rat)
Lineage: Eukaryota; Metazoa; Chordata; Mammalia; Rodentia; Bathyergidae
Description: lncRNA (ENSFDAG00000023022.1)
Source: RNAcentral